UCGGUAAGGUAUUUUUUUCUUGCAAUGCAUUCAUUAUCUACCCUUUUCACAGUUAUAAUGUUAUAAUCGGGAUUUAAGUUUCCACAAAAAUGUGCCUCUCGCAUUCAUUUAUAAAUAAUGUAUUUCUGUUCGAUAUUAAGAUCUUUCGUUUUUUGUGUUGUACCACUUAUAUUUGUUCUAAUUAUGAGGUCUUUCAACUUUUCUGUGGAAAGACAUAUUUUUUUGUUUUUGUUCUGAUUAUUUUUGUUUUUAUUUUGUUCUCCCACUAAACACUUUUCUUGCUGGUAUAAAAUUAUUUCGCAAGAUGCCUCUUAGAUAAUGGGAAAUUAUAUCAAACAGUUAUUGCGCUUUUAAAACUUAUCUUUUUUAGCCGAAAACUUUGUAAUUGUAGGAGUUAUCCGCCAAAAAGACCGUGUUUUGUUAGUGUAUCUCUU
Molecule: long non-coding RNA, 434 nt
Filed under: Mytilus galloprovincialis (Mediterranean mussel)
Lineage: Eukaryota; Metazoa; Mollusca; Bivalvia; Mytilida; Mytilidae
Source: RNAcentral